UGAUCAUGGCUCAGAUUGAACGCUGGCGGCAGGCCUAACACAUGCAAGUCGAGCGGUAACAGGGGAAGCUUGCUUCUCGCUGACGAGCGGCGGACGGGUGAGUAAUGUAUGGGGAUCUGCCCGAUAGAGGGGGAUAACCACUGGAAACGGUGGCUAAUACCGCAUAAUCUCUUAGGAGCAAAGCAGGGGAACUUCGGUCCUUGCGCUAUCGGAUGAACCCAUAUGGGAUUAGCUAGUAGGUGGGGUAAUGGCUCACCUAGGCGACGAUCCCUAGCUGGUCUGAGAGGAUGAUCAGCCACACUGGGACUGAGACACGGCCCAGACUCCUACGGGAGGCAGCAGUGGGGAAUAUUGCACAAUGGGCGCAAGCCUGAUGCAGCCAUGCCGCGUGUAUGAAGAAGGCCCUAGGGUUGUA
RNAcentral lists this ribosomal RNA (415 nucleotides) under uncultured bacterium. Its description in RNAcentral is "bacterial SSU rRNA". It matches the Rfam family "Bacterial small subunit ribosomal RNA", at positions 14 to 427 of the family's 1533-position model. The record is from RNAcentral.